RNAcentral lists this ribosomal RNA (315 nucleotides) under Triticum aestivum (bread wheat). Its description in RNAcentral is "partial small subunit ribosomal RNA". Lineage: Eukaryota; Viridiplantae; Streptophyta; Magnoliopsida; Poales; Poaceae. The record is from RNAcentral.
AUGGGAACAUCCUCCUUCUCACCUGACGUCCAGACCAAGUACACCUUCGUAAUGAGGAAGAACAAAGCACCAAACUCACAAGUUGCAGCCAUUGUGCAUCAACAAGCCAAACCAUAUUGUCAGAUCUUCUACAUUUGCAACGAGACUCUUGCUUGCUCUAGGGAGGCCACUCAGCGUUUGAUAAAAGUAGAGUCACCGCAAAGCAACUACACAAGCACUGAUUCAGACCGAUCUGAGUUCCCUGCAAGAUCCCAAUCACUAUCACCGGGGCAUACAGGUUUCUUCGGCUCCACAGAUCAAAAAGCCCUACAAUGA